Long non-coding RNA from Phasianus colchicus (ring-necked pheasant), 310 nucleotides. RefSeq lists it as uncharacterized. Lineage: Eukaryota; Metazoa; Chordata; Aves; Galliformes; Phasianidae. The record is from RefSeq and is a predicted model, not a curated record.
CAGGCCUGUUUUUCCCAAGAGCCAACAGUGGAAGAUCUCUGAUACUAAUGUAUACCUGAGAAUUUACCAAUUUUGUCUUUAAAGGAGGCCUCCUUAGUGCAAACAAAUCUGUGUUACGUGAAUGUGGCCAGUUUUGCUGCUUAAUGAGUACCUUUGGCAGAAAGGAGAUGAAUAAAGCAGUUAUAAACCUCUCCAAACAAAAUCCAGCCAGCCCAAGACUAUGAUCUAGGAACAGCAUUUGUGGAAUGAGGCAACGAUGGGUUCCAGCAACACUAAACUUGUCAUUUAUACAUAAUUAAAUCUUGCUAUC